This 301-nucleotide ribosomal RNA is filed under the name uncultured bacterium. RNAcentral describes it as "partial 16S ribosomal RNA". It matches the Rfam family "Bacterial small subunit ribosomal RNA", at positions 509 to 807 of the family's 1533-position model. The record is from RNAcentral.
CAGUAGCCACGGUAAUACGGAGGGGGCUAGCGUUGUUCGGAAUUACUGGGCGUAAAGCGCACGUAGGCGGCUUUACAAGUCAGAGGUGAAAGCCUGGUGCUCAACACCAGAAUUGCCUUUGAGACUUUAUCGCUUGAACGUCGGAGAGGUGAGUGGAAUUCCGAGUGUAGAGGUGAAAUUCGUAGAUAUUCGGAAGAACACCAGUGGCGAAGGCGGCUCACUGGACGACUGUUGACGCUGAGGUGCGAAAGCGUGGGGAGCAAACAGGAUUAGAUACCCCAGUAGUCCCUGUCUCUUAUAC